GUGAGGGCAGAGUCAGACUAUGAGAUCCCACCCUGAUGACACCCAGAGGACCCUGCUGCCCAGCCUCUAUCACAGGACACUUACUGGGGCUCACAGGAGCUGCUCCCCGUCCUUUGCCAGGAGGGAGAGCCUGUUAAACGAAGGCUCCCUGGACCUCAAUGUGAUGGUGAAAGGGUCCACCAGAGGGAAUAAAGGGACUGUGGGUGGAGUGGGACCUUGAUGCCCAGCAUCUACAGAGGGAGGGAAGGCCAGAGCAAGGCCGUGCGAAGACAGGAAAGAGACUGGAGUGGUUCAGGCACAAUCCCAGGGCCUCCUGGAGCCACCAGAAACUGGAAGGAGCUACCCUAAAGCCUCUAGAAGGAACCAGCCCUGCUGACAACCUGAUUUCAGACUUUUGGCCUGCAGAACCAUGGGAGACUAAAUAUGUGUUGUCCUAAGUCCCCUGUUUACAACACUUCAUUACCAUGGCCACAGGAAGCAACUGUGAACCGCAUUACCUACAUCUCAGUCACAUGCUUGUCCUGACAACUACCGUGUCCUUAAAACUCCGGAUUCUUCUCUUUGUUUUUUUAAGACAGUGUCUCACUACAUAGCUCUGGCUGUCCUCAAACUCACAGUGACCAGCUGCCUCUGCCUCCCAUGUGCUCGGAUUAAAGGUGUGUGCCACCAUGCCAAGCUAAGACUUUGGGUUCUUAUGUGCCAGCCCCUGCUCUGCCUGGUGCUCCAUCCUCUGAAAAUACACCUUCCACUUCCCACUUCAUGUCCCCCCCACCUUGGUCUCAUUCUCUUCCCGUGGAGCCGGCAGCCUUGCCAUUCAGAGCCCCCAGGAGGCAAACAGAACGCGUGUGAAUGCCCAUCCCAUUGUGCUCAGCAGGAAAGAUGUGGAAAGCCAAGCUGCACAGGAAGAAUGCCAGUUCCAGAAAGUUCCAGGGAUUCAUCAGCACAGACCCAAUCCUAGAACAGAUUGCUGAGGAGGCAGGGUGAAGUGGGGGCUGGGCCAGAACCACACUUGUGCCCUGGAGCAGCCAAGAACAUUCCUCGGAGCUCCACCCAGAGAGCAGGCAAUUCCACGGCAGGAAGGGGGACUCGAGCACCACACAGAAGCCUCGGAUGCCAACAGAAACAACAGAUUCCGAAUCCCCGAACAAAACCUAACUUUAACCCCACAGCUCCAGGCUGAGCACCAUUGCAGCAGGCUUAGAGAGAAGGUUGCAGAGAAACUGCUGCUCAGCUCUGGUCUGACUGAGCGGUCACUGCUUUCCUGUCUUUCCCUCAGGGCACCACAGCAAUCACAUCAAGAGGAGACUGGGCAAUGGACUUGUUAGUGCAGAAGGGGAGACUAUGUGGUUACAGGUCCCUGGGGCUGCAUCUGCUAACUGAGCUGCUG
Alexandromys fortis (reed vole) is the source of this 1387-nucleotide long non-coding RNA. RefSeq lists it as uncharacterized. The transcript is spliced from 3 exons. The record is from RefSeq and is a predicted model, not a curated record. Lineage: Eukaryota; Metazoa; Chordata; Mammalia; Rodentia; Cricetidae.